Molecule: long non-coding RNA, 385 nt
Organism: Calidris pugnax (ruff)
Lineage: Eukaryota; Metazoa; Chordata; Aves; Charadriiformes; Scolopacidae
Exons: 3
Source: RefSeq, a predicted model, not a curated record
CUCAAGCCAGAAAUAAAUGAGGAAAAACCCCCACCCUACCGCCUUCGAGGGAGAAUAAUCCCCAGCCUGCAGGGGAGGGGGUAGCACGAACCGAUGCUAAAUCACAGCGGGUGAGAAAGCACUGUAUACGCACUGAUUUAUUGGAAUGGCAAGACACAAAUUAGCUGCAGUUUUCAGCCACGCCACCGACAGCCGUACUGUCCACCGGCGCGUUGUCACCACCGACCCCACGCAGGGAGCCCACGGGCACGGAGCGGCUCUCCGCAGUCAUCCUCCUCCUAAAGUAACCUGUAAACAAUUUGACAUUACACUUAUGUACAAGUGAACCACGUUGGAAAGUAGAGAGGUAAUUCAGUGGGUGCCACUUAAUCUACAUCAAUGUGCA